AUGAAAAAUUCACAGAGACGAGGAGCUGGAAGAAAUCGACAUUUCUCCUGCGACUUUCACUUCGGGGAGAGCAAGAGAAACCAGCUGACACGCAAACAACGAGACCCUCAAGGACAAAGUCAGACGCCUGUUUGCUUCCGUUGCUCAAGUGCUGAAAACAAGAUGUUAGAGGUGGGCGGUGUGACCAAAAUCUUAAAUCACGCCAUGAGUAAUUUUAUAUCGCACUAACAGUGGGAUAAACAGUAUAGUAAGCAGUCUGUACAUGCAGUUCACUUCUACUUGAUUUAUGUAGUUUGCACUGAUGGCAUCAGGUUUUUUACGCCUGUUAUCGUCCCUCCAUUGCUCUUAUUUGCCACAUCACACACAAUCCAGUCAGGCCCUGUGUUUUCAUGGAUGGCGGUUUGCUCUGACAGGUUAUGUUUAGAGCUGAGUAAGUGGGCACUUGUGCGGCAUAAGCAGAAAGCAGCACUGCUUUAACAGCUGUCAGCGAGCACACAGCCUCUCCUCUCCUUCACACUUCCUCCGACAGUAAUGCACCCGGAAACGGAGAAAAGCAGCUGCCUGUCUGACCAUAAAGUCGGGAGCAGGGGCGUUAAUUGUUUCCCCACUGAGAAAGAAUUAGUUCAGGCCAACCACCAGCUCAAACUCCAGGGAGAAGCGAGAUGGGUGGUGGGCCGUUUUGGCAGAGCCGGAGAGGAGAGUGGGGGCAGGCCCAGCUGAAACUCGAUUAGACAGUGUGGGGAAGGCGUGGAGAUUUCGUUCCAGGAUGUCCACACACAUGCCCAAUUCAAUCUCAGGUUACUCCAACAACAACGGAAAGCAAGAAAGAUAAAUAACCAACCCAGACAAAGAUAAAGAGUCUGUAUAGGUGGUGAAUGACUCCAUAUUAUCUAUUAUAAAACAAAGUUCCUGCACUCAGAUCUGUAAAGUAGCUGCUAAAUGCAACCGUACAGCAGCUGGAUUUCAGUAUUUUGGUGUAAACAGCCUGCAGUUAAACUCAUAGAAUAUGGCGUAAUUGUUUAUUGAGAUAUAUUGAGAAAUAUGAUAAAAUCUACAAGGGAUUAUAUUUUUUGCAUAAAGAAAAUGACAUCUAAUUUGGAUUUUUUGCUUCAUGUCAGUAUUCGUAUGACAGAUAAAUCCACUUUCCGCUCUAGUUCUCAUUUCUAUAAUGUCCAGAUGUUUUUAUUUUGAGUUUGAUUUUGAUUCUCAUUACUGGAUUUAUUUUAUUUUUUAUUAAUUUAUUUAGAAAAUAUAUUAUGUUCUUUCAUAGAUAGAUAGAUGGAUGGAUAGAAAGAUGCAUAUUUAGGAUUUUUGCAUUUUGCCAUUAUUUUCAAGAUAAAUAACCCCAUUUUCCCCUCUAAUUCUCAUUACAGUAAUAUCCAGAUGUUUUUCUUUUGAGCCCCCCCCCCCAUUAAUGUCAGUGUCGAUUCCCAUUAGAUUCUCAUUACUCCGUUUUCAUAUUUAAUUUAUUUAAAAUUUCUAGAUCUAUUUUUUGUUUGUUUAUUUUUUGAAAAAUAUAUCAUUUUGUUCCUUGCAUUAUGGUAAUAAGAUCUGAAAUUGUCAUGAAAAUAAUAUUGCAUUGCAAAAAAAACCCCUAAAAAAUCCUUUAAAGCCUUUUACGCACAUGUAAUUUCUUUGAUUUUG
Molecule: long non-coding RNA, 1644 nt
Organism: Cyprinus carpio carpio
Lineage: Eukaryota; Metazoa; Chordata; Actinopteri; Cypriniformes; Cyprinidae
Source: Ensembl